CCUANGGGUGGCAGCAGUUUCGAAUCAUUCACAAUGGGCGAAAGCCUGAUGGUGCGACGCCGCGUGAGGGAUGAAGGUCUUCGGAUUGUAAACCUCUGUCACUGGGGAAGAAACGCUUUGAGUUAAUAGCUCAAAGCCUGACUUAACCCGGAGAGGAAGCAGUGGCUAACUCUGUGCCAACAGCCGCGGUAAUACAGAGACUGCAAGCGUUAUUCGGAUUCACUGGGCGUAAAGGGUGCGCAGGCGGCCGUGUGUGUGAGGUGUGAAAGCCCGGGGCUUAACCCCGGAAUUGCACCUCAAACUACAUGGCUAGAGCAUUGGAGAGGGUAGCAGAAUUCACGGUGUAGCAGUGAAAUGCGUAGAUAUCGUGAGGAAUACCAGAGGCGAAGGCGGCUACCUGGACAAUUGCUGACGCUCAGGCACGAAAGCGUGGGGAGCAAAAGGGAUUAGAUACCCGUNUANUC
RNAcentral lists this ribosomal RNA (464 nucleotides) under uncultured bacterium. RNAcentral describes it as "bacterial SSU rRNA". It matches the Rfam family "Bacterial small subunit ribosomal RNA", at positions 338 to 795 of the family's 1533-position model. The record is from RNAcentral.